Molecule: transfer RNA, 16 nt
Filed under: Lepophidium profundorum (blackrim cusk-eel)
Lineage: Eukaryota; Metazoa; Chordata; Actinopteri; Ophidiiformes; Ophidiidae
Description: partial tRNA-Leu
Source: RNAcentral
UAAUAGCCUUAAAGAU